GCUGGGCUUGCUGGCUCUUGUCAGAGCCUUGCCUUGGAUUUCCAGAACAAGACAAACACCUCCCAGGAGAUAAAGAACAGAAGGAAGCCUGUGCCUGCAAACUCUUCCCAACGAGGAAACAAGCUCUAAAGAACCAGAAUAGCCACCUUGUGCGUGCAGUUACCUGGGAGCUGGAAGAGACGUCAGCUGUCAUCUCAUCUUCAUCUCACAGACUGAAACAGAGAACCAGAGAUAUGGAUUGAGCUGCCCGAGGUUGCAGAGCUGGUUCACAGCAGAGCUGGAAAAAAGCAACUGUACCUUCACUCUCUGCCAAAGACAUUUCCUUUGACCAUUCCAAGUUGUAUUUUUUUUCCACAGGAGAAAAUAAAACACAAUGAACUUGAACCAUGGAAUGCUUUUGUUAAUAAGAAAUGCAGCAACCAGUUUGUGACAAGCACUGUUUUAACAAAGAGUCAAGUGGGUCUGAGAAAAUGACCAGAAGGAAGGC
This is a long non-coding RNA of Bubalus bubalis (water buffalo), 487 nucleotides long. RefSeq lists it as uncharacterized. The record is from RefSeq and is a predicted model, not a curated record. Lineage: Eukaryota; Metazoa; Chordata; Mammalia; Artiodactyla; Bovidae. The transcript is spliced from 2 exons.